UAACGAUGUGGGCACAGUUUCACAGAGAGAAUUGUUUGAAACAAACUAAGUAGAGAAUUCAAAUGUCCAUCUAAAUCUCUGUCUGAAGUAGGUGAAUUAUGCUCAACAAUGUUCGGAGUACAGAGUAGCUAUUACCCUGCCCUUUAUUAGCAAAGUGAAAACCCAUUAUAGUAAACACAAUUGGAGUGUACUUUAUAAUAGGUUUUGAGAGGAGGUUUCUUUUUGAUUAAAUUUGGAUCAGCAUCAUAAAUUAUUAUAUAAAGCUCUUGGCCCAAGUACCAGUUUUUCAAUUUUUGAGACCUUAAAUUCUACAUGCCUUGAUUGUCGAGAUAUAUUGCACUCCAUCCUCCUGGGUAGACCUGCUCGAUAAAAUUGGUCCGCAACUCUUGAGCUCUGGUAAUUAAAUAACUGGGCUCUGGUAAUUGUUUAAAACUUAUUUUGAUCUGUAUACCAAAAUAUAAACCUAUAUACAUUAAUUUUCAUCUAGUGUUUUAUGCUAAAAUGAAAACACAUAAGAAACAGAAAGAUAUACCUCUUAUUCUCUCAUUGUAUUAGCUCAUACUGCUUAUUGCUUAAAUACUUAAUGGCUUGAGUCCAAAAACACUUUUGUUUCUUUUACAUUGCACUUCCUACUAUCAGAUAAAUCCAGCUAAAGCUUCUACAAUGAUGUCAAACAUAUCAAAAUGUAACUACUAUCUUCUCUAAUCAAGCAUAAAAGUAGGUAGCAUCAUCGAAUCAUUCAGAAUGCACAAAGAGGGAACCAUAUAACAUAAGAAGAGCAGAGGAGAAAAAACCUCAAAGUGACCAACACCAAUAGAUACUCCACCCUAUGAUGACACCAAUAUUCCUCUCUUGUGAUAGCACUUUCAAACACAAACCAAAUAAUAUGACAAUCCCUUGUGAUAAAUCCAAAUCCACUCAAUUGUGUUCUAUAACCCCACAUAUGAAGUAAAUGUAUAGUCGAUAGCUCUCAGGUCACAACCGAGUAAAUUAACAAAAAGAACACUAAAUACAUACCAGGAAUUAAGAAUUUGACGAGGAACCCUAGUUUUGCAGCAGACCCAGCAAAUUCAUACUGUUGAGUUAUUCAGUUAUUAUAGGACCACGUAGUUAGUAUAAUUCCUAUUUAUUAGGUGUUAGUUUAUUGUUUUUAAGCAUUAUCCAUUAUCUGUACCACUAUGUUUAGUGGGGCUGUUUCUUCUGCAUUCUGUUUUGUAAUGGCAAUAUAUAAGCCAAGUCCAGUUAUUCAAUAAAGUGUGAUUCAUCCAUCAAACAUUUGGUUACAUCUCUACAAAUUGGUAAGUGUUUAUGUGGAUGAUUUGAUAUAUACUGGUGAUGAUGAAGACAUGAUAAUGAUUUCAAAAGCUCUAUGUUAAGGGAAUUUGAUAUGUCUGAUUUGGGAGGCAUGAGGUUUUUUCUUGGUAUAGAGGUCUUGCAAAGUUCUGCUGGGAUAUAUAUAUGUGUCAAAGAAGAUAUGCAUUAGAUGUUCUAAAGCGUUUCAACAUGGAGAAUAGUAAUGCGGUCAGUAGUCCGAUUGUUCCAGGAUCAAAGUUGCAUAAAGAUGAGAAAGGAGUUAAAGUAGAUGAGACGUAUUUCAAGCAAAUAGUUGGUAGUCUUAUGUACAUCACCAACACUAGGCCUGACAUGAUGUUUGUUGUAAGUUUAAUCAGUCGCUACAUGUCUAGGCCUACAGAAUUACAUCUGCAAGCUGCUAAAAGAGCUCUUAGGUACUUGAAAGGGACUGCGAACUUUGGAAUAUUUUAUAAAAGGGAUGAAGCUGGAGAGUUUUUAUUUUAUAAAAGGGAUAAAGCUGAGGAGCUUUUCGGAUUCACAGAUAGUGAUUAUGCCGGGGAUGUUGAUGAUCGCAAAAGCACAUCUGGAUAUGUUUUUUUAAUGAACUCAGGAGCUGUUUCAUGGUCUUCAAGGAAGCAACCAAUAGUCACAUUGUCAACUACUGAAGCCGAAUUUGUGGCAGCGGCUAGUUGUGCUUGUCAGGCUAUAUGGAUGAGAAGAAUUCUAGAGAAGUUGGGGCACAAGUACAAGGGAAGCACAACAAUCAUGUGUGACAGCAGCUCAGCCAUCAAACUCUCUAAAAAUCCAGUCAUGCACGGGAGAAGCAAACACAUAGAUGUGAGGUUUCAUUUUCUGCGAGAUUUAGUCAAAGAUGGAGUGAUCAAAAUGGAAUUUUGUGGUACAAGAGAUCAAGUUGCUGAUGUGAUGACAAAGCCUUUGAAGUUGGAAGAUUUUCUGAGAUUGCGGAAAAUGCUAGGAGUGUCCGAGGUUCCACAUAAACUAAAUACUUAGUAUUCACUGCAAGUGUUUAGUUUAAGGGAGGGAUUGUUGAGUUAUUCAGUUAUUAUAGGACCACGUAGUUAGUAUAAUUCCUAUUUAUUAGGUGUUAGUUUCUUGUUUUUAAGCAUUAUCCAUUAUCUGUACCACUAUGUUUAGUGGGGCUGUUUCUUCUGCAUUCUGUUUUGUAAUGGCAAUAUACACUACAAGAGAAAGCGUUUUUACCAACGGAAAUUGCUAACGAAAAUUAGUCUGUUGGUAGUUCCCAACGGAUCUGUAACGAUUUGACUAAUCAAUGCUCUGCCAACCAAUUCGCAAUGAAAUACCUACGCUUAUUUACCAACGAGACGUUCCGUUAGGAUAUAUAGCCACACAAUGGAAUAGUAACAAAAGACCAAGGAAUUAGCAACAGACUAGCGACCAAAGCAUCUGUUGUUAGGUUCAUUGAUAUUCCGUCGAUAAAUACUAACAGUUCCGUUAGUAAUUGGUUAUUAGUUUUAGAUGACAAUUAAUACACGCUGCACGCGGAUAUUAUGCUAGUCUCCUAGUUGACAUGUGUGUAAUGCUGAAGCCCAAUGGGCUUUAGUUGAUUAAAUUGAUAUGGGUAGUAGAAAAAGUCCAAUAAUAUAAUGGAGUUUGAUAUGUAUUUUAAUAUUAAGUAAUUUUCGUGAAUUUAUAUAUGUAACACAAUUGUUAAUAGGCUCAUUCUUAAUUAGAAAUUUUAUAUUACGUUCUUAACUAGAAAUAUUACAUGUAAAUUUUUUUUAAAAAAAUUCGCUUUUUAUUUAGUAUGUGGAUUUUGUAGUCAAAUACGAGGUCAAUUUACUUAGCCUUUGAUCAAAUACCUACCAGAAACACAAAACUAUUUUUUAAACAUUUAUUUUCGACGUUCCAACUGUAUAGAUAUUAUUGUAAUGUGAUAAUACAAAUUAAAAACAUUUAAGAAAUAGCCUUUUAUUUGUUGUGGAUUUUGUAGUCAAAUGCAAUUAAAUUACUUAGCGUUUAAUGAAAAUCUUACCCGAAACAUAAAACUAUUUUUAAGAAAAUUAUUUUGGACGAUCCAACCGUACCGAUGUUAUUAUAACAUGUUAAUAUUGAUUAAAAUAAAUUUUAAAAAAUAUGUCUUUUAUUUGGUGUGUGGAGUUUGUAGUCAAAUGCGGUCAAAUUACUUAGCCUUUAAUCGAAUAUUACCCGAAACAUGAAACUGUUCUUUUAUAAAUCAUUUUGAAUGAUCCAACUGUACGGAUGUUAUUGUAACGUGAUAAUAUUGCUUAAUUUUUUUUUUUUAAAAAUUACCCUUUUAUUUGGUGUCCGGAUUUUGUAGUGCAAUGUGGUCAAAUUAUGUAGACUUUAAUCGAAUACUUUCUCGAAACAUGAAACUAUUUUUUUAAUAAUAAUUUUGGUCAACGGUACGGAUGUUAUUCUAAUGUGAUAACAUUGAUUAAUAUUUUCUUAGAAAAAAUAUUAGCCUUCUAUUUGUUGUGUGGAUUUUGUAGUCAAAUGUGGUCAAGUUGCUUAGUCUUAAUUCGAAUACUUACCUCAAAUAUGAAAUUAUUUUUCUAAAAAUUAUUUUAGACGAUCCAACCAUACAAUUGUUAUUGUAACGUGAUAAUAUUGAUUAUUUUUUAAAAAAUAAAAUUAGCCUUUAAUUUGGUGUAUGGAUUUUGUAGUCAAACGUGGCUUAAUUACUUAGUCUUUAAUGGAAUACUUAUGACAAAUAUGAAAUUAAUUUUUUUUAAAAAUGAUCUUUUAUUUGAUGUGUGGAUUUUAUUUUAAUAUAAUAUAUUACUAAAUCUAAUAAUUUUACAUAUAAAUAUGAAUACUAUUUUAUGAUAAUUCUAAGUUAUUUAAAAUAUUAUAAUAAUAAUUAAACAAAGAAAGUAUCACUUUCUUUCCGUGAAAACAUGAGCGGCAAAAUUCCCACCAAAAACAAAAGUAGUACAGUAUUUACUUUUAUCCCGAAAACACAAUUCACUCCCUCCUACUUUCUCUCUCUCUCUCCUCUCUACUAUGUCGAUCUGACCUGCCUCUCGGCUCUCACCUCUCCCGUCUCUACUCUAACAUCUCCACUAUGCGUUUUCACAUCUCAGAUAACUGAAUAAUCAGAAUAGGGUUCAUGGGUUUUCUACUAAUUGUUACUAUGUUGGACUAUUGCCAUCUAAUUUUAUUAUUUCUACUGAUUGGGUUUAAUGUCUUUGUUUUGCAGGUGAUUAGGGUUUUUCAAUUGGGGCUUUCAAUCAAGGUAAAGCAUGUCACUGUGAUUCCAAUUUUAAUUGAUGUUGAUUUGGUUUACAUUCAUGUAUUCUUUGUGGAUUAUUUAGAUUUUGUUUUAUGUGGAGAGAGAGACGGGAACAGAGAGGGAAAGAGGGUGUGGGUUAUAGCUAGGGAGAGAACUGAGAGAUGGAGAGAAGAAAGAAUAGAUAAAUUGAGAGAUGGACAAAGGAAGAAAGAGUUACAGAGAUAGAGAGAGGGGAAGAUAGAAAAAGAGUUAAUUGGGUCUGAAUUUGUUGUUGAAAACAAAUCUCUUAAUUUAAGAUUUGUUGAAAAAGUAAUAGGCUUAAGGCUGCUGAGAUAGCAUUCUAGGUUUCACUACAUUCUUACAUUCUAGGUAGCCACAUAUAUGAUUAUCUAAGUUUUAAUUUAUUCAUGAGUGGAUGACAAGUACCAAUACAUGUGUGAAAAAAAACACAAGAUCCAUGACUGGAUUUGUCUUGACCCGCUUGUAGGAUUCUGGCAAAUAACACCCUCUAAUGAGUUCUGAACAUAUGGACCUCUCAAGCAGGACUUAACCUCUCAUGCCGGCCCCGUGAAUCUUGUUGUAUGUAACUAGUUACUCAAAUUGCUUCCACAUAUCUAUCAAUGAUCGCUUCCAACUUAAACUCUAAUGAUUUUUUAUUAUUUUUCGUAUAUUUGAUUAACAAUAAGUCCAGAAAUGGAUAUUAUGAUUACAUGUAGAAAUAGCAGAAUCCUUACUUUUUGCUCAGGUGGGCACCUGAGGUAAAGCCUAUUAAUUUGAAAUAAUUUAAUAGCUAAAACUUGUUCUAGUUUUCAUGUGGAUUUUCAUGUGGACAUGCGUAUGUGUUUUCUCAGGAUUUACUUGUACUUGCCUAGAUUCUGAAUUAGCGGGAUGAAAAAAAUUAUUGCAUCUGCUUGCUUUGGAAAGAGUCUAGUUUAUCAAGUACAGUUGUGUUGGCGAGUACUCGAGAGAGCAAUGAUUUGUACAAGGAAAAGAUGUAGAAUGGUGUUAUAAAGCUCCGUGAUCAGCAGGUUUGUAAGUUGUAGAUGUAACCGAUUGAUUUGUGAUGGAAAUUGCUCUUUAAAAUGGCUUUAAACAAUUGUCUGCUUGUUUACCAUUCUUAAACAAUUGUCAUUAACUCUUAGGCUGAAGGGAUCCAUGACUGGAUUUGUCUUGACCCGCUUGUAGGAUUCUGGCAAAUAACACCCUCUAAUGAGUUCUGAACAUAUGGACCUCUCAAGCAGGACUUAACCUCUCAUGCCGGCCCCGUGAAUCUUGUUGUAUGUAACUAGUUACUCAAAUUGCUUCCACAUAUCUAUCAAUGAUCGCUUCCAACUUAAACUCUAAUGAUUUUUUAUUAUUUUUCGUAUAUUUGAUUAACAAUAAGUCCAGAAAUGGAUAUUAUGAUUACAUGUAGAAAUAGCAGAAUCCUUACUUUUUGCUCAGGUGGGCACCUGAGGUAAAGCCUAUUAAUUUGAAAUAAUUUAAUAGCUAAAACUUGUUCUAGUUUUCAUGUGGAUUUUCAUGUGGACAUGCGUAUGUGUUUUCUCAGGAUUUACUUGUACUUGCCUAGAUUCUGAAUUAGCGGGAUGAAAAAAAUUAUUGCAUCUGCUUGCUUUGGAAAGAGUCUAGUUUAUCAAGUACAGUUGUGUUGGCGAGUACUCGAGAGAGCAAUGAUUUGUACAAGGAAAAGAUGUAGAAUGGUGUUAUAAAGCUCCGUGAUCAGCAGGUUUGUAAGUUGUAGAUGUAACCGAUUGAUUUGUGAUGGAAAUUGCUCUUUAAAAUGGCUUUAAACAAUUGUCUGCUUGUUUACCAUUCUUAAACAAUUGUCAUUAACUCUUAGGCUGAAGGGUAAUUGUGCUCCUGUGUAUGGUCAAAUGAAUGAACCACCUGGUUCUGAUGCUCUGGUUGGAUUUACUAAGCUAGCAGUAGCUGAGCACUUCCGAGAUGCUGAGGGGCAAGAUGUCCUUUUAUUAGUUGACAACGAUAAGCUGCUCAAUCUGGACAUCAAANUAUUAUUUUUCGUAUAUUUGAUUAACAAUAAGUCCAGAAAUGGAUAUUAUGAUUACAUGUAGAAAUAGCAGAAUCCUUACUUUUUGCUCAGGUGGGCACCUGAGGUAAAGCCUAUUAAUUUGAAAUAAUUUAAUAGCUAAAACUUGUUCUAGUUUUCAUGUGGAUUUUCAUGUGGACAUGCGUAUGUGUUUUCUCAGGAUUUACUUGUACUUGCCUAGAUUCUGAAUUAGCGGGAUGAAAAAAAUUAUUGCAUCUGCUUGCUUUGGAAAGAGUCUAGUUUAUCAAGUACAGUUGUGUUGGCGAGUACUCGAGAGAGCAAUGAUUUGUACAAGGAAAAGAUGUAGAAUGGUGUUAUAAAGCUCCGUGAUCAGCAGGUUUGUAAGUUGUAGAUGUAACCGAUUGAUUUGUGAUGGAAAUUGCUCUUUAAAAUGGCUUUAAACAAUUGUCUGCUUGUUUACCAUUCUUAAACAAUUGUCAUUAACUCUUAGGCUGAAGGGUAAUUGUGCUCCUGUGUAUGGUCAAAUGAAUGAACCACCUGGUUCUGAUGCUCUGGUUGGAUUUACUAAGCUAGCAGUAGCUGAGCACUUCCGAGAUGCUGAGGGGCAAGAUGUCCUUUUAUUAGUUGACAACGAUAAGCUGCUCAAUCUGGACAUCAAAUACAAGCUCAAUCUGGGCAGCAUCUUUUUGAAUAUCCACAUUUUGAAUAUGUAUUAAAUAAUGAAAUUUUAGAAUCAUUAUAAAUUUGUUGUUUCUAUUUCUUUAUUUUUCACAAAAAUAUCUUAAGAUGUAUAGCUCUUGGAAAAAAUAUAUUUGUGUUGUUUAUACUAGAAAUAAUUUAAAUUCUCUUGGUAAAGUGAUGAGAAUUUUGUAGUAAUAUGGUUGGAAAAGUUAUAGUAACAUGUCUAUUAGCAUUUCUUUUACUAAAUGUACCAAUAGAAUUUCUUUAGCACCUCUGUUAUUAAAUUGUUAUCAAAUGUACCAACAGAAUUUUUGUUACUAGAUGUACCAACAGAAUUUUGUUGGGAAAAUGUCGUUAACUAUACCAACCAAAAAUAUUCCGUUGGCAUGCUCGUUAUAACAUUGCUGUUGUAAGAAAUCAGAAAUCUGUUAUUAGUGUGUUGGUAUUCCGUUAGUAAAUUUAGUAACGAAUUUGUUCUGUUAGCAUGAACUUCCCGACGGGCUAUAUGCCAACAGAUUAUUUUCAUUAUCAUUCCGUUGGCAGGGUGAUUUGCCAACGGAAAUCCCUGUCGUGCCAACAGAAAUUUCUGUUAUUAAAAAUGAAUUUUCUUGUAGUGAUAUAAGCCAAGUCCAGUUAUUCAAUAAAGUGUGAUUCAUCCAGCAAACAUUUGGUUACAUCUCUACACAUACAACCCAGGAGAAUCCGGAGAUGUCCCAACCACUGAAUACUCUUCGAGAGAAGUCCCAACCGCCGAAUCAUCUUCGAACAAUUAAGACAGAGUAGAGAAUCGAGAGACUGAGAGAGAAUAGAGAAAACUGAGCACUGCAAUUGAGAGACUGAGCAAAGAAUCGAGAGAACUGAGCAAUUGAUUCCGUGGAGUACUGGCAGCAAUUGAUUGUGUUUUGGCGAGAGUACUUGCAGCAAAUCGAAAGCAAUUGAUUGUAAGCAAAUUGGGUUCGAACUCU
This 8182-nucleotide long non-coding RNA is filed under the name Daucus carota (carrot). RNAcentral's name for it is "long non-coding RNA (DCAR_LNC000943)". The record is from RNAcentral. Lineage: Eukaryota; Viridiplantae; Streptophyta; Magnoliopsida; Apiales; Apiaceae.